Small nuclear RNA from Gorilla gorilla gorilla (western lowland gorilla), 99 nucleotides. The record is from Ensembl. Lineage: Eukaryota; Metazoa; Chordata; Mammalia; Primates; Hominidae.
GUGCUCACUUGGGCAGCACAUAUUCUAAAAUUGGAAUGAUACAGAGAUUAGCAUGGUCCCUGCGCAAGGAUGACAUGAUUUUAAAAAUUCUAAAGUAUG